ACCUCGGGAAACUGAGAAUAAUACCCGAUAGGUCAUGAUGCCUGGAAUGGUUUAUGACUCAAAUAAUUUAUUGCCGUAGGAUGGGACUGCGAGCUAUCAGCUUGUUGGUGAGGUAAUGGCCCACCAAGGCUAUUACAGCUACGGGCUCUGAGAGGAGUAGCCCGGAGAUGGGUACUGAGACAAGGACCCAGGCCCUAUGGGGCGCAGCAGGCGAGAAAACUUUGCAAUGCGCGAAAGCUCGACAAGGUUAAUCUGAGUGGUUCCUGCUAAAGGAACCUUUUGUUAGUCGUAGAGACCACUGAUGCAUAAGGGGUGGGCAAA
This 321-nucleotide ribosomal RNA is filed under the name uncultured marine crenarchaeote. RNAcentral describes it as "bacterial SSU rRNA". It matches the Rfam family "Archaeal small subunit ribosomal RNA", at positions 129 to 450 of the family's 1478-position model. Lineage: Archaea; Thermoproteati; Thermoproteota. The record is from RNAcentral.